Non-coding RNA from Bombyx mori (domestic silkworm), 84 nucleotides. NCBI's taxonomy places the organism in Eukaryota, Metazoa, Arthropoda, Insecta, Lepidoptera, Bombycidae. The record is from Rfam.
UUAACUCAAAUUUGUAUGAAGUUGGAACGUAUGCCUACGUUUGUCGCUAGUGGAGCUGUUCCGAUUUCAUACAAAUUUGUGUUA